UGUUUUAGUAGCUUAUAUGAAAGUUCUGGGCUUUUAACCCUGAGAAGUAAAGAAUUACCUAAAGC
RNAcentral lists this transfer RNA (65 nucleotides) under Lutraria rhynchaena. RNAcentral describes it as "tRNA-Lys". Lineage: Eukaryota; Metazoa; Mollusca; Bivalvia; Venerida; Mactridae. The record is from RNAcentral.